Anastrepha obliqua is the source of this 439-nucleotide long non-coding RNA. RefSeq lists it as uncharacterized. The record is from RefSeq and is a predicted model, not a curated record. The transcript is spliced from 2 exons. NCBI's taxonomy places the organism in Eukaryota, Metazoa, Arthropoda, Insecta, Diptera, Tephritidae.
CCACGGGCAUGCAUAAGGUGAAAUUGAAUGUGAGAGAGUGAAGUUUGGACGCGGAAAAGUUUAAAAUAGAGAAGCAUAACGCAAAAAAACUUCGAAACAAUGGCAAAAUUAAAGUCUCACUGCGUACAGAAAGUAAUGUAAUUCUAUAUCCUCAUAAGAUAUUGAUGGCUAUCAGAAAUCCACCUUGGCUGCUAAUGAGUAUGAUGACUUCAUACUAAAUACUGUUGAUAUGCGCAUACCAUAUUGCAUAAAAAUGUUUGUUUCAUGUUUUUUGUGGAAAAUCGAUCGCUAUGAUUGACAUCUAAAACUGAACACUUAAAAAUUCUGGAUAACAAAUUUGUAACAUGCUUGUAAAUUCAUUUUAUAUAGCCUGUAUUUAGAACAUAAGUUCUUGAACAUUGAAAAAUUGAUUAAAAAUAAAGUAUUUAAUUUAAUUAAA